This 780-nucleotide small RNA is filed under the name Pongo abelii (Sumatran orangutan). RNAcentral's name for it is "retained intron". The record is from RNAcentral. Lineage: Eukaryota; Metazoa; Chordata; Mammalia; Primates; Hominidae.
GAAGAUGGCGGCAGCCGAGGCCGCGAACUGCAUCAUGGAGGUGUCCUGUGGCCAGGCGGAAAGCAGCGAGAAGCCCAACGCUGAGGACAUGACAUCCAAAGAUUACUACUUUGAUUCCUACGCCCACUUUGGCAUCCACGAGGAGAUGCUGAAGGACGAGGUGCGCACCCUCACAUACCGCAACUCCAUGUUUCAUAACCGGCACCUCUUUAAGGACAAGGUGGUGCUGGACGUCGGCUCGGGCACCGGCAUCCUCUGCAUGUUUGCUGCCAAGGCCGGGGCCCGCAAGGUCAUCGGGAUCGAGUGUUCCAGUAUCUCUGAUUAUGCGGUGAAGAUCGUCAAAGCCAACAAGUUAGACCAUGUGGUGACCAUCAUCAAGGGGAAGGUGGAGGAGGUGGAGCUCCCGGUGGAGAAGGUGGACAUCAUCAUCAGCGAGUGGAUGGGCUACUGCCUCUUCUACGAGUCGAUGCUCAACACCGUGCUCUAUGCCCGGGACAAGUGGCUGGCGCCCGAUGGCCUCAUCUUCCCAGACCGGGCCACACUGUAUGUGACAGCCAUCGAGGACCGGCAGUACAAAGACUACAAGAUCCACUGUGAGCGCGGCCCGGGAGCUGGCGGGCGGGUCCCCGGGUGGGCUGCUGCGGGCUCACCCCCUCCCUGCCUGCCUCCCCAGGGUGGGAGAACGUAUAUGGCUUUGACAUGUCUUGCAUCAAAGAUGUGGCCAUUAAGGAGCCCCUAGUGGAUGUCGUGGACCCCAAACAGCUGGUCACCAACGCCUGC